This 497-nucleotide ribosomal RNA is filed under the name uncultured bacterium. Its description in RNAcentral is "partial 16S ribosomal RNA". It matches the Rfam family "Bacterial small subunit ribosomal RNA", at positions 28 to 507 of the family's 1533-position model. The record is from RNAcentral.
GAUGAACGCUGGCGGCGUGCCUAAUACAUGCGAGUCGAGCGAACAGACGAGGAGCUUGCUCCUCUGACGUUAGCGGCGGACGGGUGAGUAACACGUGGAUAACCUACCUAUAAGACUGGGAUAACUUCGGGAAACCGGAGCUAAUACCGGAUAAUAUAUUGAACCGCGUGGUUCAAUAGUGAAAGACGGUUUUGCUGUCACUUAUAGAUGGAUCCGCGCCGCAUUAGCUAGUUGGUAAGGUAACGGCUUACCAAGGCAACGAUGCGUAGCCGACCUGAGAGGGUGAUCGGCCACACUGGAACUGAGACACGGUCCAGACUCCUACGGGAGGCAGCAGUAGGGAAUCUUCCGCAAUGGGCGAAAGCCUGACGGAGCAACGCCGCGUGAGUGAUGAAGGUCUUCGGAUCGUAAAACUCUGUUAUUAGGGAAGAACAAAUGUGUAAGUAACUAUGCACGUCUUGACGGUACCUAAUCAGAAAGCCACGGCUAACUACGUG